RNA transcript from Leucoraja erinaceus (little skate), 2955 nucleotides. It is a transcript of the gene named kinesin-like protein KIF3A, with no coding region annotated. The record is from RefSeq and is a predicted model, not a curated record. The transcript is spliced from 12 exons. NCBI's taxonomy places the organism in Eukaryota, Metazoa, Chordata, Chondrichthyes, Rajiformes, Rajidae.
GCCUUUCAUUAUUUGGGACGUUUCAAAUAAAUCCCUCCUCAUCCCCCACCUCAUUUGAGUCCACAAUGACCAGCAAUCACCCAUACACUAGUUCAAUCCUACACAAUAGGGGCAAUUUACAGAGGCCAAUUAAACUAACUCACGCAUCUUUGGGAUUUGAGUGGAAACCAGAGCAUCCGGAGAACACCCAUGCUGUCUCAGGGUGAAUGCAAGCUCCAUACAGUCAGCACCCGAGGUCAGGAUUGAACCUGGGUCUCUGGUGCUGUGAAUCAGCAACUCUAGCAUUGCGCCACUAUGCCAUGCUGCAUGUACAGUCCAUGCAUAAGCUAAGGUAUAUCCCACCUCCACCCCAUUGCGGGCAUUGAACUUUGUCCAUGGAACUGCUAUACAUGACAAUAAUAAACUUAAACCAAAACCUAACGGUCUUCAAAUUCUGUUCCGGAAAGAAAGAUUUCUUGCGCACAUUGGCGCCGAGAGAAAAAUCUCCAACCUUUGAGACAAAGCAUCACCGAAUUGAUGAAACCAUCCUUCGGGAGCGGAAAAACUGCAAAUGGAAGGAAGCAAAGUCUGGGGACAAAAGGCAAGGAAGGAUUGGGCAGUGAGAACAAGUGGAUAAAAACAGAUAAAUUGAAACACUAUUUAUAAUUUAACGCCAUUUUCUUUCCAUUGAAUAACAAUUCCCAGCUUGAUAAAAUAUUCAUUGUAAAGUUGCAGUAGCUGGAUAGGCCAGGUUUUAAUUAUUAAUUGGUUGGGUAAGGACUAAGUGGAUUAAAUGAUACUUUGCAGAACAACAGUGCCACAAACCAGUGAACACAGGAUUAUUGAAUAUCGCUCGGGUUGUUUGCAUCGAGGUUUUCAGUCCCAAAUUGAUGCAGAGUAAAGAUGACAGAAGAGGCUGCAGUGCGAGUAGCAGUGGGAAUCAAGCAGACGCCAGAUGAGGAAGAUGGAGGAAUAACAUCUGUGACCGUCAAAGAUUUACAAAGUUCAACUGUUUUGGAGCUGAAUGCGGGAGGAAAGGACUACACUUACACGUAUGAUUGCGUCUUCAAGCAGGAUGGGAACCAGGAUGGAGUGUACACAGCGCUGGUGAAGCCUAUGUUGUCCAGAGUGAUGCGGGGGUUCAACGUGUCGCUGGUUGUGUCGGGUACACACGCAUCUGGCAAGAGAAUGCUGCUGGAGGGGGAGCGGAGAGAGGACGGCAUUGUGUACAAGAUGUUGAAGGACUUGUUCACAGAGCUAAAAUCGGAGAAAAAUGGUCGUAAACAGCUCAUCACACUCUCCGAUAUUCAGUUUCACCACGACGGUUCUACUGUGGAUCUGCUGAACCCACAUGGCAGGGAGAUACAGUCCCUGCAACACUCGCUCCUGGGGCCGGUCAUGACAGAGCUGAGUGAGAUAGUUGUAUCUGGUUUUGAAGAUGCGUGGAACUUGUACCAUGACGGGACAAAGGCCCAGAAGCUCGGAGGAACACCCCUGGACAGGUGUAGCACAGUUAUGCUGGAGUGGGAGGAGACCGCCUCCACCUGCGUUCGUUCUCUCCUUCGCAUCUUCGCCCUCUCGUGCGGUCCACAGGGAGACGUGGAGAAUGGAGUCACAUCUCUGGUGGACUUGUUCAGUAAAGGACCGACACACAGACCCUUGGCGACCCUUCUGUGUCAGGCCCUCGAAGGAAACAGCUGUUCACUGUUGAUCUGUUGUCUGACACUUGCAGAGUCAAGGCCUGGAGAGACAGACUCCCCGCUGGCCCUGGCCCAGAGGGUGGUGGGACUGACCAACCGAGUCUCCCGUCUCAGCUGGGAUCACCGGGAAACCGCACGGAAUCUCCGCCGCAGCAUCGGCGAGCUGCGGAAGACAGCGAGCCCGGCUGGUGAACUCAGCGGUCAGGAUGCAGCAAAAUUGGCGACUCUCGUGUGGGAAUUACAGGCCAGUGCAUGCAGCAUGUGUGAAUCCUUCCACUGGGAACUAACGUUCUUACACUAAACAAUAUUCCAUUAUCUGUAUUCUUGCACUAAACAUUAUUCCCUUUAUCCUGUAUCUGUACACUGUGGAUGACUUGAUUGGUGCUAAUGUCGUCUUUCUACUGACUGGACAGCAUGCAACAAACAAGCUUUUCACUGUAUGUCGGUACACGUGACAAUAAUAAACAAAAUUAAAUGAAACAUUCCAGAGGGGUGCAGCAGGUGGAGCCGCUGCCUCACGGUGCUGGAGACCCUGGUUUGAUCCUGACCUCGGGUGCUGUCUGUGUGUGGAGUUUGCACGUUCUCCCUGUGGCCGAAUGGGUUUCCUCCGGGUGCUCCGGUUUCUUCCCACAUCAAAACGACGUGCAGGUUUAUAGGUUAAUUGGCCUAGGUAAAUUGCCCCUAGUGUGUAGGGAGUGGAUGUGAAAUUGGGAUAACAUAGAACUAUUGUGAACGGGUGAUUGAUAGUCGGCACGGACCCGGUGGGCUAAAGGACCUGCGUCCAUUGGGUCUGGCAGCAUCACUAGAGAACAUGUAUUGGUGACGUUUCGGGACUGAAGAAGGGUCCUGACCUGAAACUUUGCCGAUCCAUUUUCUCCAUGGAUGCCGCCUGACCCGCUGAGUAACUCCAGCAUUUUGUGCCUUUUUUUAAACCAAAAAACUUGGUGUCUUUUUCCUUGCGUCAACUACAUUAAACAGACCAUGUUUGUUCAAUAGAUGGUGAAACAGCAACGGUGGGAGAAGAAGCUGGAGAGCUCCAAUGCGAUGCAGAGAGGAACGUAGGGAGUUCCUCAAGAUGGGUUUACUGGAGCAAGUCCAAGAACCGGAAGGUAUCCCAUCGGAAGUUGAGCAUUGCUCCACACAGUCAUUCCCAGCGCUCCUACAGGAAUACAGUCGGAAAAAGGACCAAAUCAGGCGGAUUGAGGACAAGCUGAAGGAACGCCUUUUGGAGUAUCUGAAGGGUGAGGAAAUGCUUCAAAAAGCGCAGGGACCUCAU